AUUGAACGCUGGCGGCAUGCCUUACACAUGCAAGUCGAACGGCAGCACGGGUGCUUGCACCUGGUGGCGAGUGGCGAACGGGUGAGUAAUACAUCGGAACAUGUCCUGUAGUGGGGGAUAGCUCGUCGAAAGCCGGAUUAAUACCGCAUACGAUCCACGGAUGAAAGCGGGGGACCUUCGGGCCUCGCGCUAUAGGGUUGGCCGAUGGCUGAUUAGCUAGUUGGUGGGGUAAAGGCCUACCAAGGCGACGAUCAGUAGCUGGUCUGAGAGGACGACCAGCCACACUGGGACUGAGACACGGCCCAGACUCCUACGGGAGGCAGCAGUGGGGAAUUUUGGACAAUGGGCGAAAGACUGAUCCAGCAAUGCCGCGUGUGUGAAGAAGGACUUCGGGUUGUAAAGCACUUUUGUCCGGAAAGAAAUCCUUGACUCUAAUACAGUCGGGGGAUGACGGUACCGGAAGAAUAAGCACCGGCUAACUACGUG
RNAcentral lists this ribosomal RNA (486 nucleotides) under uncultured bacterium. RNAcentral describes it as "partial 16S ribosomal RNA". It matches the Rfam family "Bacterial small subunit ribosomal RNA", at positions 30 to 507 of the family's 1533-position model. The record is from RNAcentral.